Molecule: ribosomal RNA, 484 nt
Filed under: uncultured bacterium
Lineage: Bacteria
Description: partial 16S ribosomal RNA
Rfam family: Bacterial small subunit ribosomal RNA
Source: RNAcentral
AUUGAACGCUGGCGGCAUGCUUUACACAUGCAAGUCGAACGGCAGCGCUGGCUUCGGGCUGGCGGCUAGUGUCUAACGGGUAAGUAAUGCAUCUGAACGUGCCCACUAGUGGGGGAUAGCCCGGCGAAAGCCGGAUUAAUCCCGCCUACGACCUGAGGGUUAAAGCGGGGGACCGAAAAUCCUCGCGCUAUUGCACAGUCCGAUGCCGGAUUAGCUAGUUGGUGGGGUAAAGGCUUACCAAGGCGACGAUCCGUAGCUGGUCUGAGAGGACGACCAGCAACACUGGGACUGAGACACGGCACAGACUCUUACGGGAGGCAGCAGUGGGGAAUUUUGGACAAUGGGGGCAACCCUGCUCCAGGCAUGCAGCGUGCGGGAAGAAGGCCUUCGGGUUGUAAACCGCUUUUGUUCGGGAAGAAAUCCUCUGGGCUAAUACCCCGGGGGGAUGACGGUACCGGAAGAAUAAGCACCGGCUAACUACGUG